UACAGAGGUCUCAAGCGUUGUUCGGAUUCAUUGGGCGUAAAGGGCGCGUAGGCGGCGCGUUAAGUCGGGUGUGAAAUCUCGGGGCUUAACUCCGAAACUGCAUUCGAUACUGCCGUGCUUGAGGACUGGAGAGGAGACUGGAAUUUACGGUGUAGCAGUGAAAUGCGUAGAUAUCGUAAGGAAGACCAGUGGCGAAGGCGGGUCUCUGGACAGUUCCUGACGCUGAGGCACGAAGGCCAGGGGAGCAAACGGG
Molecule: ribosomal RNA, 253 nt
Filed under: uncultured bacterium
Lineage: Bacteria
Description: partial 16S ribosomal RNA
Rfam family: Bacterial small subunit ribosomal RNA
Source: RNAcentral